This 553-nucleotide long non-coding RNA is filed under the name Homo sapiens (human). RNAcentral describes it as "non-protein coding lnc-AGO2-5:1". The record is from RNAcentral. Lineage: Eukaryota; Metazoa; Chordata; Mammalia; Primates; Hominidae.
AUCAAAAUAGAGCUCCUUGGAAAUGAUGCAUCACAAAGUCCUGUCCCUGCUUUACUGACUCACAAGAAUGGCCCAGCAGUUAAAAUCCUUAUACAUGGAGCAGCUGAAGAUUUUCGUUUUUCUAGAAAGAGAAAAAAGACAAGGCUGAAGUGAUUUUUUCAGUAUAGGUGUUACCACAUGAGUGACUGUUUUCUUCAGAUGGGUAUUUUUAAAUUUCCCAUUAAUAUAGUGGUGGACUUUUAAGUUGGUGUAUUACCCAAAAAGAAAACAGAUGAUUAUGCUGAGAUUAUAGAUGAAGAAGAUACUUACACCAUGCCCUCAAAAAGCUAUGGAAUAGAUGAAGCCAGGGAUUAUGAGAUUCAAAGAGAAAGAAUAGAACUUGGACGAUGUAUUGGAGAAGGCCAAUUUGGAGAUGUACAUCAAGGCAUUUAUAUGAGUCCAGAGAAUCCAGCUUUGGCGGUUGCAAUUAAAACAUGUAAAAACUGUACUUCGGACAGCGUGAGAGAGAAAUUUCUUCAAGAAGCCUUAACAAUGCGUCAGUUUGACCAUCCUC